This 233-nucleotide ribosomal RNA is filed under the name uncultured bacterium. RNAcentral's name for it is "partial 16S ribosomal RNA". It matches the Rfam family "Bacterial small subunit ribosomal RNA", at positions 794 to 1025 of the family's 1533-position model. The record is from RNAcentral.
UCCACGCCGUAAACGAUGUCAACUAGCCGUUGGGGAACUUGAUUCCUUAGUGGCGCAGCUAACGCACUAAGUUGACCGCCUGGGGAGUACGGCCGCAAGGUUAAAACUCAAAUGAAUUGACGGGGGCCCCGCACAAGCGGUGGAGCAUGUGGUUUAAUUCGAUGCAACGCGAAGAACCUUACCAGGUCUUGACAUCCUGAGAAUCCUGUAGAGAUACGGGAGUGCCUUCGGGA